CCUCCCCUGCCCCCUCAGCCGCCGGGCGGCAGAACGAGGCGGCCAGCCGACUCCUGCCCCUCGGCCGGACGAACCGCGGCUGCCGCGCCCGUCACCUCUGCACCUGCCUGGCUGAGUAGAAAAAAAUUACAUUUAAAACAGCAAUGGCCACAUAAGGACAAUUCAGAUGAAGGGCAAGCGGGCUGACAUUGCGCACUUGGGUCUUUCCUGGAAAGACGGCGGCGCUCUGGGAGAAGCCUAGUCCUCCGGCUUGUCCCAGGACCCACCCCAAAGGGCGCUGGGAGCGCGGUGAGGACGUGGCGGUCGCUUUGCGCAUCUCACUCCGGAGACAGGUUCCGCAGAAAGAACCCUCCAUCUCGGCCGCUUGGCUCCAAGAUAAUCUCCUGGCGAAAGCUUAGAGACGGCCAGCUCCUCCCGGGGACUCAGCCCCUAGAUUUAGCUUCUUCCGCCGCAAAAAACAAACAAACAAAAACCUCCCAAGCCCCGCGAACCAGCAGCGCGCCUCUCCAGGCUUCCGGCGUGGGAGUCCCAGCUACACUUCCGAGCCCUUUGCUUGGUCCGCGUCUAUCCGCUCCUCGAUUAGGGAAAGCGCAGUGGGGACGGAGGGAACUGCGGCCUCACGUACCAGGCCUCUGUAGUCCCCCACGCGGCCGGGUCACAAGGAAGCAAUGCCACAAU
Saimiri boliviensis boliviensis (Bolivian squirrel monkey) is the source of this 678-nucleotide long non-coding RNA. RefSeq lists it as uncharacterized. The record is from RefSeq and is a predicted model, not a curated record. NCBI's taxonomy places the organism in Eukaryota, Metazoa, Chordata, Mammalia, Primates, Cebidae.